RNAcentral lists this unclassified non-coding RNA (365 nucleotides) under Hevea brasiliensis (rubber tree). The record is from RNAcentral. Lineage: Eukaryota; Viridiplantae; Streptophyta; Magnoliopsida; Malpighiales; Euphorbiaceae.
GAAAUUAUGUUACUGUAGUGAUUUUGUUCACUUGUUUUUGACUGAUUCAAAAACAAAAAUGGGCGGCUACAGUGGUGAUUCUUCAAAAUCUUCAGCUGAAUCUAACUUUCGUGAACUUGAUGAUGUGUUCUUGCAGACUCAAACAAGGAUAUGGCUUGGGGAAGUGUUGAAAAUGAGAUUGGAUGAGCACUUGCAUAUUUCUGAUUUGCUUGCUGAUGGGGAUCUUUUGUUUGAAGUUGCCAAAGAAUUAUGGAAUAUGCUAUUGGCAAAGUGUGGAGAGCUAAGACAUAUGAAGUAUGAACCACUUGGUUCACGGAAAUGCAGUGGGAGAUAUAUGCCAUAUUCUAAUGUUGACUCAUUUUUAA